UCUCAUCUCUGUCUCUUCUGGUCUUCAGGGCUCCUGUAAUUACAUUGGGCCCAUCUGAUAAUACAGAAGUGUCUCCCUAUGCUGGGCGUGAAGAAGGAGCAGCUUGGAAUGGCAGCGGACAGCCAGAACAGAUGGACAGCAGCUGAAUCAAUCAAGAAGCGAUUGCAGUCUAUGGUCCUGGAGGCAAUUACCACUCCCUCACUGAGAAGUCAAUGAAAAGGAUACAUCAAAGAGUUAUUAACACACUCAUAAUUUGUAAAGCCUCUCCUAACGACACCACUAUAACUAUCCCCAUGUAUAAUAUGAUCACAGAUUACCUGAAAGAAUAAGGCUUCAUAAUUUUAUUUAUUGAAGUAUAAUUUACACAAGUGAAAUGUUUAUAUCUUAGGUGUGCUAUCCAAUCAGUUUUGAUAAAUGCAUAUACUUUUGCAGACUAUGCCCCUAUCAAGACACAGAGCAUUUCCUUCAAACCCAGAAAGUUACCUGUAUCCCUACCCAGGCAAUGCCCCUCUCAGAAACAACAACUAAUCCUGUUAUUUGUCACUAUAUUCCAAAGUUUCAUAUAAAUUAAAUCCUGUAGUUUGUCAUCUUUUGCAUCUUGCUUUUUUAUUUAGCAUAAUAUUUUCUGAGAAUGACUCAUUUCAAGUACCAGUAGCGGAUCCCUUUUUAUUGCAAAGUAAGAUUCCAUUACAAGAAAAUACACAGUUUAAUAAUCCAUUCUUCUAUUGAUGAACACCUGGGAUGCUUACAGGUUGGAAUUGUUAUGAAAAGAAGAUUCUAUGAACAAUUUUAUUUGCCUUUUUGGUGUAAAUAUGUUUUUGUUUCUCUUGAAUAAAUAUCUUGGAGUAGAAUUGCCAGCUCAUAGAGUAUAUGUGCAUUCAACUUUUGGAAAACUGAGUUUUCUGAAAUGUUUGUUCUGUUUUACACUCCCACUAGUAAUAUAUGAGAAUUUGAGUUACUCCA
This is a long non-coding RNA of Bubalus bubalis (water buffalo), 963 nucleotides long. RefSeq lists it as uncharacterized. Lineage: Eukaryota; Metazoa; Chordata; Mammalia; Artiodactyla; Bovidae. The transcript has 3 exons. The record is from RefSeq and is a predicted model, not a curated record.